RNAcentral lists this ribosomal RNA (402 nucleotides) under uncultured bacterium. RNAcentral describes it as "bacterial SSU rRNA". It matches the Rfam family "Bacterial small subunit ribosomal RNA", at positions 355 to 774 of the family's 1533-position model. RNAcentral also lists the same sequence under 1 other name. The record is from RNAcentral.
UGGGGAAUAUUGGACAAUGGGCGAAAGCCUGAUCCAGCAAUGCCGCGUGAGUGAUGAAGGCCCUAGGGUUGUAAAGCUCUUUUACCCGGGAUGAUAAUGACAGUACCGGGAGAAUAAGCUCCGGCUAACUCCGUGCCAGCAGCCGCGGUAAUACGGAGGGAGCUAGCGUUGUUCGGAAUUACUGGGCGUAAAGCGCGCGUAGGCGGUUUUUUAAGUCAGAGGUGAAAGCCCGGGGCUCAACCCCGGAAUUGCCUUUGAAACUGGAAAACUUGAAUCUUGGAGAGGUCAGUGGAAUUCCGAGUGUAGAGGUGAAAUUCGUAGAUAUUCGGAAGAACACCAGUGGCGAAGGCGACUGACUGGACAAGUAUUGACGCUGAGGUGCGAAAGCGUGGGGAGCAAACA